RNAcentral lists this ribosomal RNA (497 nucleotides) under uncultured bacterium. Its description in RNAcentral is "partial 16S ribosomal RNA". It matches the Rfam family "Bacterial small subunit ribosomal RNA", at positions 28 to 507 of the family's 1533-position model. The record is from RNAcentral.
GAUGAACGCUGGCGGCGUGCCUAAUACAUGCAAGUCGAGCGAACGGACGAGAAGCUUGCUUCUCUGAUGUUAGCGGCGGACGGGCGAGUAACAAGUGGAUAACCUACCUAUAAGACUGGGAUAACUUCGGGAAACCGUAGCUAAUACCGGAUAAUAUUUUGAACCGCAUGGUUCAAAAGUGAAAGAAGGUCUUGCUGUCACUUAUAGAUGGAUCCGCGCUGCAUUAGCUAGUUGGUAAGGUAACGGCUUACCAAGGCAACGAUGCAUAGCCGACCUGAGAGGGUGAUCGGCCACACUGGAACUGAGACACGGUCCAGACUCCUACGGGAGGCAGCAGUAGGGAAUCUUCCGCAAUGGGCGAAAGCCUGACGGAGCAACGCCGCGUGAGUGAUGAAGGUCUUCGGAUCGUAAAACUCUGUUAUUAGGGAAGAACAUAUGUGUAAGUAACUGUGCACAUCUUGACGGUACCUAAUCAGAAAGCCACGGCUAACUACGUG